Molecule: long non-coding RNA, 733 nt
Organism: Mytilus californianus (California mussel)
Lineage: Eukaryota; Metazoa; Mollusca; Bivalvia; Mytilida; Mytilidae
Exons: 5
Source: RefSeq, a predicted model, not a curated record
UGAUAUUUUGUAAUUAAUAGAGGUGGUUAUAUUCGUUUCCGAUGUACCGACGAAUACAAUAUAUAAGUCAAAAAUCAUUCGGUAUUCUUUGAAAAAAGAAAAUAUGUGGCUGUUUGGUUCAAUAUUUGUUUGUUUCCAGUUCAUGAUGGUUCAUGCAAGUGGAUCUUGUGAUGAAGUGUAUAAAUGUCCAAAUGCAACGUUUGAUUCAAGUGAGCUGAUGGAUUAUGAAUAUGAUGAAGAAAAUCACAAAUGGAAGAUGACUAUGCAUUUGAACUACCUUGAUGUUUUCUGUCCGUACUUCUCGGAAAUACUGCCUUGCAUUAAGGAUAAUGGAGCAGCAUGUGAUGUCGUACAACAACAAUUGUUUGGAAUGAUGAAAAACACAUACAAUCCAAUUUGCAUCACUUACAAAGCAGAAUUGAAUUGAUUAAUUUCCCCCUGCUAUAAUGACCCGGUGUAUCAAGAACAGUUGGUUGACAAAUGUUACGACGAUGCAGCGGAUGAACUGAGUAAAAGAAGGAGGAACCAGUCACAAAGCACAGCAAACGCAGUAGACUGUGGAAUUAUAGAUAAAUGGGCAAGUUGUACACAUGAUGUAAUCAAAGCAUGCAGUCCGAAGAACGCACAUGCAAUUCUACCAAUAGUUGAAGAUACUAAACCAUACAUUUGUAUGAUUUAAACAAUGUCGAUCGACUGUAGAACGUGCAGUUUUAAUUGAAAUAAAAGUCCACAA